AGACAGCAGUAGCCGCGGUAAUACGGAAGGUCCAGGCGUUAUCCGGAUUUAUUGGGUUUAAAGGGAGUGUAGGCGGUCUGUUAAGCGUGUUGUGAAAUUUAGGUGCUCAACAUCUAACUUGCAGCGCGAACUGGCGGACUUGAGAGCACGCAACGUAUGCGGAAUUCAUGGUGUAGCGGUGAAAUGCUUAGAUAUCAUGACGAACUCCGAUUGCGAAGGCAGCGUACGGGAGUGUUACUGACGCUUAAGCUCGAAGGUGCGGGUAUCGAACAGGAUUAGAUACCCGAGUAGUCCCUGUCUCUUAUAA
This 307-nucleotide ribosomal RNA is filed under the name uncultured bacterium. RNAcentral's name for it is "partial 16S ribosomal RNA". It matches the Rfam family "Bacterial small subunit ribosomal RNA", at positions 506 to 809 of the family's 1533-position model. The record is from RNAcentral.